AGAGUUUGAUCAUGGCUCAGGAUGAACGCUAGCUACAGGCUUAACACAUGCAAGUCGAGGGGAAACGAUAUUGGAAGCUUGCUUCCGAUAGGCGUCGACCGGCGCACGGGUGAGUAACGCGUAUCCAACCUGCCCACCACUUGGGGAUAACCUUGCGAAAGUAAGACUAAUACCCAAUGAUAUCUCUAGAAGACAUCUGAAAGAGAUUAAAGAUUAUCGGUGAUGGAUGGGGAUGCGUCUGAUUAGCUUGGUUGCGGGGUAACGGCCACCAAGGCGACGAUCAGUAGGGGUUCUGAGAGGAAGGUCCCCCANAUUGGAACUGAGACACGGUCCAAACUCCUACGGGAGGCA
RNAcentral lists this ribosomal RNA (351 nucleotides) under uncultured bacterium. RNAcentral's name for it is "bacterial SSU rRNA". It matches the Rfam family "Bacterial small subunit ribosomal RNA", at positions 8 to 350 of the family's 1533-position model. The record is from RNAcentral.